Molecule: unclassified non-coding RNA, 288 nt
Filed under: fungal sp.
Lineage: Eukaryota; Fungi
Description: partial internal transcribed spacer region
Rfam family: Eukaryotic small subunit ribosomal RNA (bases 1-46)
Source: RNAcentral
AAGUCGUAACAAGGUUUCCGUAGGUGAACCUGCGGAAGGAUCAUUGCCACACACGAUCCAAGAUCGACACUUAUUGUGAACUGUUAAACGUUUGGAUUGGUAUAAUGUAUUGUUUGAAUGGAUAUUUCUGUUCAUUUCAACAUACAUUGUAUCAAUUUUAAAUUAUUACACCAUUAUACCAAACAUGAAUUAUACAUUGGAACAUAAAUGUUAUACCAAGUUCGUCUUGAUAUAACGCUAGAUUAUUAAUUGUAAAAACAACUUUUAACAACGGAUAUCUAGGUUCUU